Prionailurus viverrinus (fishing cat) is the source of this 2036-nucleotide long non-coding RNA. RefSeq lists it as uncharacterized. The transcript is spliced from 13 exons. Lineage: Eukaryota; Metazoa; Chordata; Mammalia; Carnivora; Felidae. The record is from RefSeq and is a predicted model, not a curated record.
GCCAUGAGUGAGAAGAGUCACUGGUAUUGCAAGAUGUAGAGAGUAUCUGAAGACUUCUCAUUUCUGAAUAGCUCUACCUCUGAUCAUGCCUGAAAUUCCAUUACAAAUCUAUUUCUUGAAGGUGUGUUUUAAUUUAUGGGGGCUGAAAAGGAUACUGAACACUAGUGACCAAGGACUCUCAAAUGCUAUGACUGAGAAGGCAGUAAAGCAAGGACUCUCCCUCAGAAGGAAGCCAUGGAUGUUCUGACACCUCAGGACAACGCACCUGAGUAGGACCGUGGUGGGCGAAGGGAAAAUGCCUGACACCUGGUAUCUACCCCUCAGGAUGGACUGAUGUUUGCUGAUGCUUUUCCCUGGGGAACAGUCUCCUGCACUUCCAUGGUGGAAUGAAAAACUUGGCCUGAGGUUUUAGCCAUCAUGAACAGAUAUGUUGAACCACCUAAAUCUACAGAUUCAUUACAAGUGCCACUUCAUAUUCAGAGAGAGUGAUUUUUUUUCUCCCUUUAUGUGGACCCCUCUGGGAUGUCUCCAGCGGAGCAAGAGUCAGACCUACCUUGUUCAUAGUUUUCUUCAUAUGAAAUGCAUUGCUUAGCACCUCGUAGGAGCUUCAUUGUAUAUAUGUGGAAUCACUGAAUCAACAUAAAAGGAAGGAUAAAACUUUGGCGUUGAUAAAAGAAGAGCAACAGCAAAUCCCACCCCCGCCAUUUACUGGCCUGUUAACUUCUCUCUGCCUGAAUUUCCUCAACUGCUAAGUGGGAAGGAUCGUGAUAAUCACAGCAUGUACCUCGCGAUACCUUGAUUUCUCGGGCUGUGCUUCCUGCAACAUGGAGGGUCUGUAACAGCACAGUGCUCAUGAGGGAACUUCAGCCAUGUCUGUCUUGGGCCAUCGCACAGAUGAUUCCUGCAUUUGCCCGGGGUGCACUGCCCAAAUCACCCCUCAGAACAAACACUGCCCUUCACCCUGCUGUCCAGACUUUUGACCCCUGACCCAUCACAGACAAGUCCCUCAACAGGAAUUGCCCUUGACUGAAGGCAGUUUCCUUACUGAGGGGGACGGAGCCCCAGAAUAACUGAAAUGGGCCUUUCUCUGAGAGGUUGGUGAUUUCUUCGGCAGCCUGCCUGGCAUGUGACAUGGGAGCUUUCAGCAUGGUACUGUUAAUAUCCCACCUUGAAGAUGAGGAAUCUGAAGCACAAAGGUAACACUUACUAAACUCUUUAAAUGGUAGUUAAUUAUUACUAACCAUCUGGAUUGUUCCCAGUGGCCAUUAAUCCCACAGAAAUGAGAGGGGCUGGAUAAAGAGAAGAAAAAAAAGGCUUCUCAUCUUCAGGCUUCUUCAAGGAGAAAAUUUAUGGUCUCUGGACUAGAGGACCUAUGUUCCAGGGGAAGGCAUGUCCUGGAGGUUUCUUACCCAAGACUGUGAAUCCCAGACUUCGAGCGGUGGAGAAAUUGCUAACCAUGAUAACUCAUUUAUGGGCUCAGACAUUAUGGAUAUGAGAGGAAGUCUGCUGGCCUGGAGCAUGAAAACAGCAAGGAUUGAAAUAUAUAAGCAGAGAGAAGAAUUCUGUACGUUAGUGUUAUGUUUCUGAGUUUCUCCUGGGACGAGGGUGAUUCAUUAUAUAAACAGGGAUGAGAUCACAUGGGCCGAUCAGGAUCUACAAUAAAUCUUGAGACAACUCCGGGAAGGGUACUCUGUGGUGUUAGCAAUCAAAUGUAAGGAGACCACACCAUCCCCUUCUUAAGUAUCAACAGCAAUAAAGUGAAAGCACACAGGUGUCUGAUUUGUUCUUUCUAAUUCGCUAUGAUGACUUGGGGAAGUGUGGCUGCCAAGUGCCGGCUCCUAGUGUGCAUAAAGGCAGUGACUUCAUGAGAACUAUCAGAAGAUUAAAAAAUUCAAAGACAAAGGAUGACAAGAAAGAUGAACGAACUAAAGUAAUUAGUGUUCAUCCCAGUACUAUGUGCUGCUGUAUUGACCCGCUAUGAUCAGUUCCAACAAGAGGCCACGAAUAUACGUACAAAAUGGAAGAAACUGAACAAG